UGCGAAUGCUGACAUGAGUAACGAUAAUGUGGGUGAAAAGCCCACACGCCGGAAGUCCCAGGUUUCCUGCACGACGUUAAUCGGAGCAGGGUGAGUCGGCCCCUAAGGCGAGGCUGAAGAGCGUAGUCGAUGGGAACCAGGUUAAUAUUCCUGGACUUUUUAUAAGUGGUGAAGUGGGGACGAAGAAGGCUAGGUGAGCCAGGCGUUGGUUGUCCUGGUACUUGCAUGUAGGGGGGAAGACUUGGCAAAUCCGGUUUUCCGAUACUCUGAGGUGCGAAGUGGUUCUGACCUUUUGGUACAGAGAAGUCAUUGAUGCCCGGCUUCCAGGAAAAGCUGCUAGCCAUAACUUAUAGAGAACCGUACCGCAAACCGACACAGGUGGACAGGUAGAGAAUACUAAGGCGCUUGAGAGAACUCGGGUGAAGGAACUAGGCAAAAUGGUACCGUAACUUCGGGAGAAGGUACGCCCUUUCUGGUGAUGGGAUUUACUUUCAGAGCUGGAGAGGGCCGCAGAGACCAGGUGGCUGCGACUGUUUAUUAAAAACACAGCACUCUGCAAAUUCGUAAGAAGACGUAUAGGGUGUGACGCCUGCCCGGUGCCGGAAGGUUAAUUGAUGGGGUUAUCUUCGGAGAAGCUCUUGAUCGAAGCCCCGGUAAACGGCGGCCGUAACUAUAACGGUCCUAAGGUAGCGAAAUUCCUUGUCGGGUAAGUUCCGACCUGCACGAAUGGCGUAACGAUGGCCACACUGUCUCCACCCGAGACUCAGUGAAAUUGAAAUCGCUGUGAAGAUGCAGUGUACCCGCGGCUAGACGGAAAGACCCCGUGAACCUUUACUAUAGUUUUGCACUGGACUUUGAUGAUGACUGUGUAGGAUAGGUGGGAGGCUGUGAAGUGAGGACGCUAGUUCUCAUGGAGCCGCCCUUGAAAUACCACCCUGUUGUUAUUGAGGUUCUAACUUGGUCCAGUAAUCCUGGAUGAGGACAGUGUAUGAUGGGUAGUUUGACUGGGGCGGUCUCCUCCCAAAGAGUAACGGAGGAGCACAAAGGUACCCUCGGUACGGUCGGACAUCGUACCAAGAGUGUAAAGGCAAAAGGGUGCUUGACUGCGAGAGUGACGGCUCGAGCAGGAACGAAAGUUGGUCUUAGUGAUCCGGUGGUUCUGAAUGGAAGGGCCAUCGCUCAACGGAUAAAAGGUACUCCGGGGAUAACAGGCUGAUACCGCCCAAGAGUUCAUAUCGACGGCGGUGUUUGGCACCUCGAUGUCGGCUCAUCACAUCCUGGGGCUGAAGCAGGUCCCAAGGGUAUGGCUGUUCGCCAUUUAAAGUGGUACGCGAGCUGGGUUUAGAACGUCGUGAGACAGUUCGGUCCCUAUCUGCCGUGGGCGUAGGAAAAUUGAGAGGAGCUGCUCCUAGUACGAGAGGACCGGAGUGGACGAACCUCUGGUGCACCGGUUGUCACGCCAGUGGCAUGGCCGGGUAGCUAAGUUCGGACGGGAUAACCGCUGAAAGCAUCUAAGCGGGAAGCCUCCCUCAAGAUGAGUUUUCCCAUGAAGCCCGUUGAAGACUACGACGUUGAUAGGCA
RNAcentral lists this ribosomal RNA (1581 nucleotides) under Legionella pneumophila. RNAcentral describes it as "partial 23S ribosomal RNA". It matches the Rfam family "Bacterial large subunit ribosomal RNA", at positions 1289 to 2862 of the family's 2925-position model. The record is from RNAcentral. Lineage: Bacteria; Pseudomonadati; Pseudomonadota; Gammaproteobacteria; Legionellales; Legionellaceae.